CGACUCAUAUGAUCUAAACCUUCUCCCAGUAAAACCAUAGUGUAGGUGACAUUUGUCUUAGGGCCUUUCUGUCUACUUUCUCUGGGUCACUCCAUGCCCUUAAAAAUGCUCUCUGGGUCCCAGAGUUUCCUCUGGACACUUUGCCUGGAUUCCCCUUCUGUCUUUAGCAGUGUUUUGUGUCCAGUUUUUUUACAUUCCCUUCAUUCUUGUUUCAGAACAUAUCUGUCUUAUCUUCUAUCUCCCAAGGGUCCAAUUAGAUAAACUCAUCCUCGCUGGCAGAUAAUGGCACCAAUGUGAUCAUCCUCCUAGAGGUAUUUUCAUCUUGGUAUGGAGCCUCCAGAGCUAUCUUUGCUUGAAAGAAUGAAACUUCAGGAAUGAAAGUUUGCACAUAAAGCAAGCCCAUGAGAAAGACAUUUCGGGAAAACUAGAAUCCUGUUAAGUUAUGGGAUUUUUUUCAAGCCACAUGGUUGAUAAGUAGUCUGACCAGGAUCCUGGAGCAACACAAGGAAGACAAGGACCCUUGAAGACAAGGCAGCCUUGAAACCAAAUGAAGCCCUGGGCCAGUGAGCAUGGCAAGAGGAAGACUGUUAAUUGCGAGAAAGCUGGGUCUUGAAGAUGAUUCCAUAUCAACAUACAGGGAGUUCCACCACUGAAUGGUCUAUCGGUUGGGAAUGCCAUCAUUUAUUUUCACCAGUGGGGAAGAAUUGGUAUUAAUAUCAAAACCACAGUACUGUCAUACCCAGCUAUAAUUUGCAAUGUUUAUAUGCCUGUACGAAUGAAUAAUUAACAGUUAAAUGAAUCAAUAUAUAUCUAUCUAUGUGUAGGAAUAUCUAAUCUAUAAUAUAUGCUCGCGUAAGUGGUAAUUAAUCUCUUUUUUGAGACAGGGUCUUUCUCUGUCAUACAGGCUGGAGUGCAAUGACAUGAUUAUGGACCUUCAGGGAUUGAGCAGCUCGACAUCCCAAGGAUCAAGCAAUCCUCCGGCCUCAGCCUACCAAGUAGCUGGGACUACAGCCAUUUGACACCCCACCCAGUUAAUUUUUGUUUUUUGUUUUUUUGUAAAGACAAGGUUUAGCCAUGUUGCCCAGGCUGGUCUGGAACCCCUGGGUUCAAGCAAUCCUCCCACCUCAGCUUCCCAAAGUGCUGGGAUUAUAGGCAUAAGCCACUGCACCCAGCAUAAAUAAUCUCUUAUUUGUUCAUCCAUGGUGUUGUCUUUAGUUUUUAAAAAUGGAUCCUUUUGUUAUUCUUUUAUAGCCCCAGAUUAAGAAUUUGUCCAAGUUUUGUAUAUUUUUUCAGUUAUUUCAAUAUCAAAGCCCAGCACAUCUUUAAAAUCACUUCUAUGUAUAGAUAUUAACCUUUUUGACAUUUGUGUUUUGGUAUUCCAUAUUUACUCAGUUCUCCUUUCACACCCUCCCUUUAGAAGAGGAGUAUGACCAUGGCAGGAUGGAGGGGUAGUGGCAGUAGGGGCCAUAGUAUGUUUUCUAUAUUUAUCCAGCAUAUUUAAAACAUGGUAUUCUAGCUUCAAGGGAGAACAUUGAACUCCCAUUUGGACAUGUUAAGUUGAAGAUGUCUGUUAGACACCCAAGAGAAUAUGUCAAGCAGAUAUCAUCUGCCCUUGUUUUUCCUUUUCCAAACUGGCUCUCCUUAGUUCCAUCUCCAGAUGACAUGGUCCUCAAACCCUUUGUGAUCUUGGUUCUCUACUCCAGUUCUUCAAUGUUUUUCUUGAAUGUGGCACCCAGAAUUAAAUAGAGCACCCCAGAUAAUGGCUGCCCAGCAGGAUAGACAUGUGUUUGUUAUAUAAUUCUUAGAGACUAUAGCUGACGUCACUGGUGCCCAGCCCAUAUCUUCUUGAGCCCUAGCAUUUUCGUGCAUGGUGGCCUGAUUUCUAACUGUCAGCACCUAAAUAUCUUUGCCUGAGGACUUUCUCUGUCGGCCAGAGCCUGCUUUGUGCACAGUCAGAAGUGCCAAGGAGUCAACACUCCCCAAAGGAGUCUUCAGCCAGUAACGAAAUGAAAGGUGGAGUAUAAAAACCCCAGCUCCCUCACCACUCAGCUGGGGUAGCCCUGAGAUUCAUGCUCUCCACCCUCUUCAGAGUUUCCCGGCAGCAUCAUGUUCCUGUUACCCUUCUCACUACUGACUUGAUGCUCAUCCUUUCUUGGCUCCUUCCCUGUGUCACUUCCCCCAUCCCAUAUGGGAGAAGGCUUCCUGGGUUCACCUUCCAAAGUAAUUACUGGUACUGGAAUUCUCAUCUCAAGUUUUGCCUUAGGGUCACCCAAACUAAGACAGUGCCUAAUGCUGCAUCAGCUUUCUUACCAGUCACAUGAUGCUGUUGUAUCCUUAAUGUCAGAUAAACUCCCAGCUUCUUUUUAUGUCAACUGCUACCAAGCCACACAUUCUCAGUGCUGUGCCUUUGUUAUUGAUUUUUUAACCUAAACUCAGAGUUUAUGUUUAUUCCUGUUAUACUCUUAAGUUUUUUUCCAUAUUCCAACCUAACAGAAUAACUUUGAAUAUUGAUUUGUUCUUUCGUUGUGUUAACUAUCCCUUCCAGACAUGAGUCAUAUGUAGAAAUCUGAUAAGCAUGUUUCCUGUGCCUUCAUUCACUUAAAACAAACAAACAAACAAACUUUGAACAAGGUAGGGUUAGGAAAAGAAUUCUAAACUCAAUUCCUCCCAUUGUUCAAUAAUCAAGAUUCUUUCAGUAAGAAUGCUUAUUGGUAGUGAUUCAAACUAUCUGCACCAGUUCAACCCAGAAUUUACAAAUUUGCCCAUAGGAAUAUCAGGCAAGCUCAGCUCAGUUGCUUUGCUAGAAUAGAGAAGAUCCACAAUUAUGUCAUGCCUCUGAUACAUGAGCCUAUAACCUUAUCAGAAAGGAAAUAUGGUUCAUUUGGCUUGUUAUUAGCAAUUUUAUUUUAACCACUAAGAACCUCUGAAUUCAUUUCUAAAACCCUCCAAUCUUCCUUUUAUUUUCUUUUAUUUAUAUAUAUAUAUUUUUAUUUUAUUUUACUUUAUUUUUGAGACAGAGUCUCACUCUGUCACCAGGCUGGAGUGCAGUGGCAUGAUCUCGGCUCACUGCAACCUCUGCAUCCCGGGUUCAAGCAAUUCCUCUGCCUCAGCCUCCCAAGUAGCUGGGAAUACAGGUGCACACCACCAUGCCCAGCUAAUUUUUGUAUUUUUAGUAGAGAUGGUGUUUCACCAUGUUGGCCAGGAUGGUCUCGAUCUCUUGACCUUGUGAUCUGCCCACCUCGGCCUCCCAAAGUGCUGGGAUUACAGGCGUGAGCCAUCACGCCUGGCCUCCAAUCUUCCUUUUAAUAAUUUGAUCUGGAAUUUUAUCAGGGAGCUAUGCAUGCAUGUCAGGGGAGAUCAAGUUUAUGGUUUCCAGAAUCUACACUUUCUUUUUGAGAAUGGGAACUUUUGCCAGUACAUUGUUUUCCUAUCCUCAUUUCCAUAAUUUCUCAACAACAGUAAGUAGUUUUAAGGUCACAUUUGCAAGUUUUUUGAGGAGCCUGGGAUGUAACUUUUCUGGAGACUUCAACCUACUUUAAAUGGUCACAUGCCCCCUGUGUCCCUCACUGCCUCCCUUCUGCUGAGCUCUCCCCAGUCCUGGGAAGGCUGAUUCUUUAGCUAGAGAACCCAGACCAGCCCUGUGGCCUCAUAUUUCCACAUCAGCCUUCUUGAAUCUGUGUUCCUCCCCCCUCACUUAUCUUUUUACAUCAAACACAUGGCUCAAAGCUUUUGAUAUUUGACUUGACUCUUCAGGACCCCAAGCUCCUCUGACUCAGCCCUCCACCCCCCACCCCUAACCCACGGCCCACUCUGCUUGAGGGCUCCCCAAAACCUCAAACUCCACCGUAAGCUCCCUGAGCAGCCACAAGGAUUUUGGGGUUUGGUUUGGUUUUGCCUCUUACUCCCUUUUCAUUUUCCCUGGCAUCAUUCACAUUCACCAAUCAGAUUCAUUUUUAUCAUCUCCUAUUCCUCAUGAGAAAUACAUUUUUUUAUAACCUUUUACCUUGAAUUCAAAUCCAUUUUUCCUCUGAAGCACCUGAGGUGAGGUGGGUAUCUCCUCUUGUCCUAAUCUUAUCCACAUGCCAUGAUAUGGUUUGUCUGUGUCCCUACCCAAAUCUCAUCUUGAAUCAUAGCUCCUGUAAUCCCCAUGUGUUGUGGGAAGAACCUGGUGGGAGGUAAUUGAAUCAGAGGGGUGGGUUUUUCCCAUGCUGUUCUUGUGAUAAUGAAUAAGUUUCAUGAGAUCUGAUGGUUUUAUAAAGGCGAGUUCCCCUGCAAAAUGCUCUCUUUCCUGCCACCAUGUAAGAUGUGACUUUGCUUCUCCUUUGCUUCCACCAUGAUUGUGAGUCCUCCCCAGCCAUGUGGAACUGUGAGUCAAUUAAACCUCUUUCCUUUAUAAAUUACCCAGUCUCAGAUAUGUCUUUAUUAGCAGCAUCAAAACAGACUAAUACACACCACCAGUUUUCCUCCUGCAUGUUCCUCAGUUCUGCUAGAACUGUAAAAAGAUGGAUUCCAUAGACUGGAGUCACCCUGAGGGCAGGGAUGGACCCCUAU
This 4551-nucleotide long non-coding RNA is filed under the name Homo sapiens (human). RNAcentral describes it as "HSALNT0251718". Lineage: Eukaryota; Metazoa; Chordata; Mammalia; Primates; Hominidae. The record is from RNAcentral.